RNAcentral lists this ribosomal RNA (484 nucleotides) under uncultured bacterium. RNAcentral describes it as "partial 16S ribosomal RNA". It matches the Rfam family "Bacterial small subunit ribosomal RNA", at positions 30 to 507 of the family's 1533-position model. The record is from RNAcentral.
AUUGAACGCUGGCGGCAGGCCUAACACAUGCAAGUCGAGCGGAUGAAGGGAGCUUGCUCCUGGAUUCAGCGGCGGACGGGUGAGUAAUGCCUAGGAAUCUGCCUGGUAGUGGGGGAUAACGUCCGGAAACGGGCGCUAAUACCGCAUACGUCCUGAGGGAGAAAGUGGGGGAUCUUCGGACCUCACGCUAUCAGAUGAGCCUAGGUCGGAUUAGCUAGUUGGUGGGGUAAAGGCCUACCAAGGCGACGAUCCGUAACUGGUCUGAGAGGAUGAUCAGUCACACUGGAACUGAGACACGGUCCAGACUCCUACGGGAGGCAGCAGUGGGGAAUAUUGGACAAUGGGCGAAAGCCUGAUCCAGCCAUGCCGCGUGUGUGAAGAAGGUCUUCGGAUUGUAAAGCACGUUAAGUUGGGAGGAAGGGCAGUAAGUUAAUACCUUGCUGUUUUGACGUUACCAACAGAAUAAGCACCGGCUAACUUCGUG